RNAcentral lists this long non-coding RNA (2023 nucleotides) under Mus musculus (house mouse). RNAcentral's name for it is "long non-coding RNA chr2:178407269-178409292". The record is from RNAcentral. Lineage: Eukaryota; Metazoa; Chordata; Mammalia; Rodentia; Muridae.
AGGCCGCCGGGGCCUCGCGCCUCACAAACUCCUCACAAACUCCUCCCUGUAUGGUUGCCCUGGAUUGGCGUGACCAGUGCCGCCCACACCGCGUGUCCUCAUCACGGCCACCCCGCUGACCUGCCCCACCUACAGCGCAGCACACCGCAACCUGGCAACCGCCUCCGCCCGCAAGGGCCGUCGAGUAAUGGCGCCUCCUCGCCUCCCGGGCGCCAACGGAAAGUGGGAAGCGCUCGCCCAAUCAGAGCCAGCCAGCCACCCAGGCCACGCCCCUUACCCGCAGACACUUUAGGCUGUGGGCGCACACGCAGCGCUUCUGGGAAGGGUCGGUCGGUUGCCCCACUUCCGAUGACCCCUGCCCUGUCCACGAUGGGUCAGCCGGAAGUGAUGGAAAGCAGUCUGUAGGGCUCUCCAGCUGCUUUCCUAUUCUGAGCCCCGCCCAGAGUGGUGAUGCUGCGCUGGGGAACCGCCUGCCAGCAGGGGGCGCUGUGCCGUGCCAGUUCCACCUAGGGAGGAAACAUGGCGGUUAGGAGAACCUGCAGUCACUGUGGGACUCCACCACCCCUCAACUAGGCAAUCCUCAUGCCCAGGCCAUAGGGGAGUGCUGUGGCGCCUCCAUUUUCCCUGUGCCCUAAAUUUAUAACAUGGUGGCCCCGUCUUUUGACAAAUUUCACCAUCAUGCACGAUGCUGCCUGCUUUGCAUUGCCGUGACAGACAAUAACUGCUUUAUUCAACCCUUCGGUUAUCCUAUGAUCUAGUGGAAACUCCAUGGCUUCACGUGAAGAGAGUUAAAUAUUGAUAUAGGUGGUGCCAAAUCAAAGUUUAAAAUGGUAUUUAUUAUUAGUAUCUUUAUUUUUUAUCUAAAAAGGCAAUGGUUGUUUAAAAAUACAUAAAGCAGAUGAUUUUGCUAGUGUGCCCCUCAGUUGUGGUUGGUAUGCAUCCUUAGCUGUUCCUGGGGCAUGAGAUCUAAUGUCUACUUACCCCACAUAGAGCUCCAAUGACAGCCCAAAGGCAGGGUUCCACCCAUGUCUAGCUUAAAUAACAGACCUUGCCCGGCUUCCUUACAGGAUGCAAGUGACAUCGAAGCGGCCGUAUCACCGGAUAACCUAAGCCCAGCAUGGAUGAUUAAUGAUGGCUUCCCCAUAGUUGUACCAGCAGAGAUGCUACACUCCCUGAGGCACCCUUCCACCCCUUAUAUACCCUAGCAGCACCCAAGCCGACGAGCCAAGUGCAAUUACCGCAGAAUUACAUCUAGCUGGAGAGGGAGAGAAUCAGCUGACAGCCCAGUGACCACUGCACCCAAUUCUUUGAAGGAAUGUCAAUAGUCAACAGGUCAAUGUUUCUCAAGUCAUAACAAUAGUAACAGCUGCUCUCAUGAAGAUGACAGCUGUGAUGCUCAGUGGCCAGCACCCCUUUCUGAUUUAAUUAUGCUUUGGAAUGUGCUUGAAAAAAGUGUGUGUGUAUGUUUGUGUGUGUGUGUUCAAAUCACAGAAUAAAACCUACAGCGUUUCUACCUUUGGCUUAGCUAGAAUUACAAACAUCAUUCCAACUUUGUGCCUUGUUAAACUGAAUUUUGAACCCACUCCUCACUGAACUGAGAGUCUCAUGCAUGCCAGACAAGUGGUCUACCAUUGAUUUAUAUUUCCAGCUUUCUUUAUACUUUCUGAGACAGGAUCUAAGGUGCUCAGGUGGGCAACUUGAACUUGAGAUCCUCCUGCCUCAGUUUCCUGAAUGGCUGGAAUUACAGGUCCAAGGAGAUCCUAAUUAAAACAAAACAAAAAAAAUGUAAAACAACCUGAACAGUUGACAGGCUUUUAGAGGGUGUUUCAGAUAAUUAGUUUUCAAUGAUUUUUUUGAAUGACUUAAGUACUAACAGUAUAUAAUACAACAUGUAAGAUCAGAGUGUGUCAACCUCAUCACCAGAGACUUACAUCAUCAUCUUCACACUGGGCUUUCUUGUAAUAGACUUACCAUCCUCCAUGAUGCAAUCUAGUGAUUUCUCAACUAGCUGCUUGUUAUAGAG